AGACGGGAAGCGGGGACGGGGAGCUGGUGGGGGAACCCCCGCGCUCUCCGGGCGACCCUCUGCAGCUUCUGCUCUGCCCCAUCUGUCAUCUUCUCCCGACCCGGCGACCCCGUUCUCCCCCUCGCCCCCCAUUCCCUGGGACCGUCCUUCUUAACAGCGCCCUUCACCCCGCCCGGCCCGCGAGGUAGUCCUCAACAGGGGACAAGGUCCGGACGUGGCGCCCCCAGAAGGAGCGCGGAGAGCCCCUGGGACCCAGUCCCGCCAGGAACCGUUCUCGCUAUGUUGCCCAGGCUGGUCUUGAACUCCUCAGCUGAAAUGAGCCUCCCACCUCGGCCUCCCAAAGUGCUGGGAUUACAUGCAUCCCCUGUGCCCCAGUACUGUCUCCUCUCCCCAGCCCAGCCCCCACAGCUGCCUGCCCUGGCCUCACUCCCUGGCCUCCCCCAUCCCAGCCUCUGGGUCCCUGAGUCAGUCCCUGGGGCUGUCUGCCCUCUAGGGGAGCCUCUGGUGUGGACCAGAAAGUAACCUAAUCCCUUCCAGGCCCACCCUGGAAACAAAGGGAUUUGUCCACUAGCCUGGUGGUGAGAACCAUGUGGCCCCCUGUCUCUGGCAGAGAGGACUCCAGGAUCAAGGGCAGGAAAAAGGAGGAGCCUCCUGGGGAGCUUCAGAAGGAGGAUCCCAAGUCCCUCCCGCCCCACUUCUGUGCCUGGGUCACUCACACCCCUGCCUGACUCUAGCCCCCCUUCUCCAGGGGUCGCCACAACAUGUGAAUCAUGCCCAGCGUCUUCCAUUACACCCUUGAUAAAGUCCUCUCCUCACCAGGACCUCUGUCAUUUUACCUCAUGGUUUUGAAAUAAUUUUUGGUCUUUUAGCAGUUUAAAAAUAUUGUUUUGUUUUUUUUCCUGAGUUUGGAGCAUUCCUGUUACUAAUUACAUUUUUUUUUUAGACAGGUGCACACUACUACACCCAGCUAAUUUUUGUUUUGUUUUGUUUUGGUAGAGAUAGGAUCUUGCUAUGGUACCCAGGCUGGUCUUCAACUCCUGGGCUCGAGCAAUCCUCCUGCAUUGGCCUCCCAAAGUGCUGGAAUUACAGGCAUGAGGCAGCACGCCCAGCCCUAAUUACUUCUAUUACGCCAAAUUCCUUGUGUGGAAUUUCUGUGCUUUGCACACAAAUUGCCAGGUUGGCCCCAAAGGGGAAAAAGGUGGAUCCCAUUUUCCCAUCUUCUAUGCCUACGUGGCUGACAAAUCUCCCGAAUCCUACAGGAGCUGUCGUUGAUCUUUGUCCUCUAUUUGCUGAAAUAAAGUUCACCAUGGA
Molecule: long non-coding RNA, 1311 nt
Organism: Gorilla gorilla gorilla (western lowland gorilla)
Lineage: Eukaryota; Metazoa; Chordata; Mammalia; Primates; Hominidae
Exons: 2
Source: RefSeq, a predicted model, not a curated record